AGAGUUUGAUCCUGGCUCAGAACGAACGCUGGCGGCGUGGAUAAGACAUGCAAGUCGAACGAGAGAAUUGCUAGCUUGCUAAUAAUUCUCUAGUGGCGCACGGGUGAGUAACACGUGAGUAACCUGCCCCCGAGAGCGGGAUAGCCCUGGGAAACUGGGAUUAAUACCGCAUAGUAUCGAAAGAUUAAAGCAGCAAUGCGCUUGGGGAUGGGCUCGCGGCCUAUUAGUUAGUUGGUGAGGUAACGGCUCACCAAGGCGAUGACGGGUAGCCGGUCUGAGAGGAUGUCCGGCCACACUGGAACUGAGACACGGUCCAGACACCUACGGGUGGCAGCAGUCGAGAAUCAUUCACAAUGGGGGAAACCCUGAUGGUGCGACGCCGCGUGGGGGAAUGAAGGUCUUCGGAUUGUAAACCCCUGUCAUGUGGGAGCAAAUUAAAAAGAUAGUACCACAAGAGGAAGAGACGGCUAACUCUGUGCCAGCAGCCGCGGUAAUACAGAGGUCUCAAGCGUUGUUCGGAAUCACUGGGCGUAAAGCGUGCGUAGGCUGUUUCGUAAGUCGUGUGUGAAAGGCGCGGGCUCAACCCGCGGACGGCACAUGAUACUGCGAGACUAGAGUAAUGGAGGGGGAACCGGAAUUCUCGGUGUAGCAGUGAAAUGCGUAGAUAUCGAGAGGAACACUCGUGGCGAAGGCGGGUUCCUGGACAUUAACUGACGCUGAGGCACGAAGGCCAGGGGAGCGAAAGGGAUUAGAUACCCCUGUAGUCCUGGCAGUAAACGGUGCACGCUUGGUGUGCGGGGAAUCGACCCCCUGCGUGCCGGAGCUAACGCGUUAAGCGUGCCGCCUGGGGAGUACGGUCGCAAGAUUAAAACUCAAAGAAAUUGACGGGGACCCGCACAAGCGGUGGAGUAUGUGGCUUAAUUCGAUGCAACGCGAAGAACCUUACCUGGGCUUGACAUGUAAUGAACAACAUGUGAAAGCAUGCGACUCUUCGGAGGCGUUACACAGGUGCUGCAUGGCCGUCGUCAGCUCGUGUCGUGAGAUGUUUGGUUAAGUCCAGCAACGAGCGCAACCCCUGUUGCCAGUUACCAGCACGUGAAGGUGGGGACUCUGGCGAGACUGCCCAGAUCAACUGGGAGGAAGGUGGGGACGACGUCAGGUCAGUAUGGCCCUUAUGCCCAGGGCUGCACACGUACUACAAUGCCCAGUACAGAGGGGGCCGAAGCCGCGAGGCGGAGGAAAUCCUAAAAACCGGGCCCAGUUCGGACUGUAGGCUGCAACCCGCCUACACGAAGCCGGAAUCGCUAGUAAUGGCGCAUCAGCUACGGCGCCGUGAAUACGUUCCCGGGUCUUGCACUCACCGCCCGUCA
Molecule: ribosomal RNA, 1370 nt
Filed under: uncultured bacterium
Lineage: Bacteria
Description: bacterial SSU rRNA
Rfam family: Bacterial small subunit ribosomal RNA
Source: RNAcentral